Long non-coding RNA from Helianthus annuus (common sunflower), 1290 nucleotides. RefSeq lists it as uncharacterized. The record is from RefSeq and is a predicted model, not a curated record. The transcript has 5 exons. NCBI's taxonomy places the organism in Eukaryota, Viridiplantae, Streptophyta, Magnoliopsida, Asterales, Asteraceae.
CUGAUGUGGCACGUUCUUAGGGCUUCUCAGGAUUCAUUUUGGCGGGAAAAUGAGCUGAGUUUUAUAUCAUCCGCGGAUACCCAUUUUGAUGUGAUCCGAACCGUUUUAUGACCCGGGUAUAUAAGUCACAUAAAAAAACCUAAUUUCCUAUAGCCCCAUUCUUUUCCUUCACCACUUCACAACCAAACCCUAGCCUCCGUCUUCCUUGAAGCUUCUACAUCUAAUUUUCUCUAAAAAGAUAGGUGUCGUUUGUGCUUUGAAUCGACUGAUAAAGGAUUCCAAAAUUAAACCGAUUCACUUACAAAUGGUGGUGGCCUGAAGAGGAACGAUGACAACGACAUUGGUUGAUUUAGGUUUUCCCAGUGGUGGUCUUAUGAUGGUUGUGGUUUAACGCAACAACGAAAGGGCGGUGGCUAGGGUUUCACCAACACAUAAAUCGGGCACCCAAAACGAAAGCCCGAGGGGGUGAUGCGAUACCAGUCACUACUGUGCGAAUAAUCCGAAAAAAACUCCUGAAAUCCAUAUAUACGAAGGCUAGGAAACCUAAAAUGGAAGCACAAAGAAUCUCAAAUAAAGACCCAAGGGGUGAUGCGAUACCAUUCACUGUGCGAAUAAUCCGAAAGUGGAAUCUGUUGAUACAUACGAAGGCAAGGCGCUGCCUACUUAAAUGAUAGAUAAACAUGCAAGUAUACCAAAUAAUUUUAAUCUUCAAUUCUACUUGAUAAAUUUGAAUACACAUGGAGCGCAUUUCAAGGUGACAUCCAUUACCUUGACAAAGAUUACAUUGAACAGGACAAAACAAAUGAAAGAAAUUUGGGCCACGUGUCACUAGAUGAGGGCCUCUUAUGUUCAGUUUUGGCGGGAAACUGGUGGGUUGUUUUCUUCAACAGUGAAGCCCCGAUUGAAGCUAUUUGACCCGACAACUUUUUUCGGAUCCUAUUUAAAAAAACACGCUCCUUCACUUUUUAGUACUUAGACCCACAAUCUUCUCCUCCAUGCUUCCUUCUGAAGCCUCUAAAAUCCAAUCAAUUCAACCAUCAGCCAUUGUUAGAUGAAGGAUGUUUAGACCGUUUGGGGAUCAAUUUUGUCAUUCGGUGUUCGUAUAAGCUUUUGAUGCUCAAUUCUUUCCAGCGAUUUUGGUCCGUUAUAUUAAGGUAUGAUUGCUUUGAUCGUUAAUUACAUGUUAUUAUGAAUUUUGGGCAAUAUACAAAUCAACGGUAAAAUAAUUUUGUUUAAAUAUCGUUAAUUUAUUUCAUAAAGUCCUAAAAGAUAUCGAAUGUAUAAAGAAUU